Non-coding RNA from Oryctolagus cuniculus (rabbit), 6196 nucleotides. NCBI's taxonomy places the organism in Eukaryota, Metazoa, Chordata, Mammalia, Lagomorpha, Leporidae. The record is from RefSeq and is a predicted model, not a curated record.
UUUAUUUUAUUUUAUUUUAUUUUUUCAAUUCAAUUUCAAUAUAUCUCUUUUAAUUCAAAAUCUUUUUCACUUUUGUUUAUGGUAAUAAUUUCCAUAAUUUCUAUGAUGGAGAAGACAGAGACUGUCUGGGUUUUACUCCUUUCCUAAAAUGUUGUGUUUUCAUUUUCUUUUCUGUUUUUCCUGUCUGCCUGUAGUACUUAGUCUCUGUUUUCUCUCUCUUGAGUAUUCUUUGUUCUGAAGUUUAAUUACCACGAGUUUUACAGUGUUGGUUGCUCUGCAUCAAUGUUUCACUAAACAUUCGAGAGUUUCCUAUUGAUCUGUGGUUUCAGACCUUCCUUGAUUUUCCAUUCUUUACCAUCCCCCCCUUGGGGGUUCUCCACUUCAAGAAUCCCAUUUAUGCUUAUGUUUCAUUGUCUUAGUGAGUUCAGGCUGAUAGAAAGGUUACCCUUGACGGGUGGCUUAUACAUGACAGACGUUUAUUUCUCCCAGCUUUGGAGAUUGCGCAGUCCAAGAUUAAGGUACCAGUAGUCCCAGCAUCUGGAGAGGACCCAUUUCCACACUCACAGGUGUGGCCUCAUGUGGUAGAAAGAGUGAGGGAGUUCCUAGUGGUUCUUUUAUAAGGGCACUAACUCCAUGCAUGAGAGCUCUGCCUGCACAACCUAGUUAUCUCCCAAAGACUCCACCUUGGGUGGUUAGGAUUUGGACAUAUGAAUUUCUAGGCAGAGGUUAGGUGGGAGUGUGGACCUAGACAUUUAGUCUCUGGCACUGAUCACUCUUUCCUGACCUCACUAUUCAUCUUCUCAGCAAUUACUAGAAUCUUUGCAUUUUUUAUAAUUCAUUAGCAUUACUAUAAUUCUUCUUUCUGUGCCAUUAAUAUGACUUUUAGCAAUGCUCUUUAUCCCUUGCUGUUCAUGAUUUAUUUAGAAUCCCUCUAAUGUUCAUAUGAUAGUUAUCAAUUCAUUUCAUUCGCUUGACAAUCUCCCUCAACUUCAUUCCAUAAUUUUGUCAUUUUAUUUUUAAUGCUUAUUUAAUAAACUUAUAUUCUUCUUAUUUCCAUCAUUCCAAAUAAAUUUAGGCAAUCCCACUCUCUGGAGUGACACUGUUUUCUAGAGUGGGAUAUUUUUCUCUCUGUAUUUCUUGUUGAUAGUAGUAUGCAUGUACGUAGUAGAUAGUAUAAAAUGUAGUAUGUUGUAUAGUGGCUACACUCUUUCCAUCUUGUUCAGGUCACAUGGAUAGCUCUCUGCCUCUGCAACUCAGGUAGUAUACAUUUAUAUUUUUCUCUCAUGGCUCUAUUUUUAGGCCUGCUUUCUAUUUUCAAAUGAUUAUUGUAAUUUUUGUUGGGGGGGGAUAAAGUUUGAAUGUCAAGAUUCUGAGACUGAAUCAAGGAAAUUAAAGACCUCUACAACAAAAUUAUAAAACACUCAUGAAGGAAACUGAAGGAAUAUUGCCUAUGUUAAUGGGUUGGAAGAAUUAAUAUUGUUGAAAUGGGCUUAUUCCCCACAAGGAUUAUUUUCAGAUUCAAUGCAAUUGCCAUCAAAGGGUCAGUGAUAGUUUUCACAGAACUGGAAAAAGAUCCUAAAAUUCAUAUGAAAACACAAAAGACCCAAAAUAGCCAAAGCAAUCUUGGACAAAAAGAGCAAAGCUGGAGACAUUUGAUUUUAAGAAAAACAGAUAAGCGCGGCAGUGGCAUAAUAGCAGAUACAUAGAGUGGUGGAACACAAAAGAUCCCGGAAAUUAAUCCAUGCAUGUACAGCCAACUAAUUCUUGAUAAAGGCACCCAAAACACACAACAUAGAAAGGACAGCUUCUUCAAUAAUUUUUGCUGGGAAAACUGGAUAUUCAUACACUGAAUACUGAAACUUGCCUCCCACCUCAAACUUCUCACAAUGUACAAAAAUCAACACAAAAUGGACCAAAAACCUAAAUGUAAGGCCUGAAACUAUGAAACUACAAAAUGAAAGCAAGGGAUAUCUUUCAAGACUUUCGUAUAGCCAAUGAUACUUUGGAUAAGACUCUAAAAUCACAUAGAGGAACAUACAAUUCUAUUGAUUAUAUAAAACUCAGACAUUUCUGUGUAUCAGAGGAAACAACAGAGUGAAGAGACCACUUACAGAAUGGGACAAAAGAUUUGGGAAGUUUUCACCUGUCAAAAGACUAAUAUCCUGAAUAAAUCAGAACUAAAAACUCAACAACAACAAAAUUAAGAAUGAAGUAAAUAAGUGCAAAAAGGGAUCUGAAUAGACAUGCCUCAGAAUAAGAAAUACAAAUCACCAACAAAUACAUAAAAAAUGUUCCCCAUCUCUAGCCAUCACAGAAAUGCAAAUAAAAACAAUGGUAUGUCAUUUCACUCCAGUUAGAAUGACAAUUAUCUGAAAGACACACACAAAAAAGAUAACAAAUGCUGGCAAGAGAAAUGGGAACCCUUAUAUACUACUGGUAGGAAUUCAAAUUAGUACAGCCAUGAUGGAGAAUAGUAUGGAGAUUUGUCAAAAAAAAACCUCAUAUGAUACAUCUAUCCCACUUCUGGUUACUUAUCCAAAGGAAAUUAAAUAGCACAUGAAAGAGAUACCUGUACUCACAUGUUUAUUACAACACUAAUUCACAAUAGCCAAUACAUGGAACCAACCAAGGUGUCCAUCAACAAAUGAAUGGAUAAAGUAUGGUAUGCAUACAUAAUGAAAUAUUAUUCAGCCAUAAAAUAAUGAAAUCCUGUCAUUUGUAGUAAAAUAGGUGAAAUUAGGUGAAAUAUAGCAGAAACAAAAUGACAAGUGCUUCAUGUUCCCUCUUAUAUGUACAAGCUAAAAAAAAGUCAAUAUGAUCUUAUAGUAGUGAUUACUGGAGGCUGAGAAGGUUGGAGGAAGGUUGGAUAAUGGGUACCAAUACACAAUUUUAUGGAAGGAAUAAGUUUUGAUUUUAUGAGCAACUAGUAGAGGGGUGCUUGAAGGUGCCAAUCAUAAAGAAAUGAUGAGGAGAGGCUAGCGCUGAGGCGUAGUGGUGUAAAGUUGCCACCUGCAGCACCGGCAUCCGACACGGGCACCAGUUUGAGUCCUGGCUGCUCCACUUCUGAUUUGGCUCCCUGCUAAUAUGCCUGGGAAAGCAGCAGAAGAUGGCCCAAGUCCUUGGGACCCUGCACCCACAUUGGAAACCCAGAAGAAGCUCCAGGCUCCUGGCUUCAGAUCAGCCCAGUUCCAGCCAGUGUGGUUAUUUGGGGGAGUGAACCAGAAGAUGGAAGACCUCUUUCUCUGCCUCUCUCUCUGCCUCUCUGUAACCCUACUUUUCAAAUAAAUAAAUAAAUAAAUAUUUUUUAAAGAAAUGGUAUGGAAAUGGUAGCUACCCUGAUUUGAUCAUGUAUACAUAUGUUGAAAUAUCACACUAUAACCCAUAAACAUGUAGAGUUAUUACAUGUUAAUCAGAAAUUUAAAAAAACAGUACUAGACUGGGGACUGAUAAUUUUUCUCCAAGAGUAUUUUGAGCUUUGCCUUUCAAGAGACCCAUGUGCACAUAAUAUUUUAUAUUAUGUCCAUUAGACCCAGCCACAGUAUAGUCACUCGUAGUGUGCUUGGAUCAUUUCUGCGAUUUUACAUAGGGCCUUUGCUUCAAUUUCUUCUGAAGAUAUUUUUCUACUUUCUGGAGGGAUGAAUAACCAUGCCUGGUCUGCACCCAAAAGUCUUUGUAAACUUUGAAAACUUUAAAUUCCUGUCAUUUUGUCAAUUCAUUUUCUCUCCCUCUUAUUUUUGUUGAUAAAAAUCCAGCUGUUUUAUCAUUAAUUAAUAUCCAUGUUUAUGUAUGAUAACUUCCCUUGGUCUGUAAUCUGCUUAGUCUAAACUCGGUGUAGCUACUUCUGUGUUCUAUUGACCAAUGUUAGCAUGGUACAUCUUUCUUCAUCAACUUGUUUUUAAUCUAUGGGUGUCUUCAUAUUUGAAAUGGUCUUCUGGUGGACAAUGUACAGUUGGAUCUUAUUCCUUGACUGACUCUGACAAUCUCUGUCUUUAUGUUGGUGCAUUUAGGCCAUUGAAAUUCAAUAUGGUUAUUGAUGUAAUUGGGUUAAUUUUUUUUACUAUUUUCCAUUUUUUUUUUCAUUUCUAUUUUUGUGCUCCACUCUUUUUCUACCUUUUGUGGAUUUCCAGACUUUAGAACUGCUGUGGUCACCAUGCAACCUAUUUGGGCAGAAGUCUCUGUCCUUUGCAGGAGACCCAAGUGAAGAGACCCUGGCAAGAAGAAAGGAAUCUGAAAUGGAAGAUUUGGAAGAUCACCGUGGUCUACAGCCAUAUCCCCCUGAAGAGUUUAUCGUGUGACUGACAAAGUAAAGGCAGAGUUCCAGCUCAGCCGGGAACCAGAGCAGUGAAAGAAGAGGACCCUCAUCAGACACUGCACUGUGAAGUAUCUUCCUAAAGGAGCUCCCACCACGAGGCCUCUCUGGUUCUGCUUAAUAAGGUCCUGGCAUCUUUCUGUUGAGACGGAGUCAAGAGCGAAGCUAUGGAAUGCCUACCCUUCCAAAGUGAGGUUGGGAUCCUGUGAAGAUGAAGAAGAGAGAAGCCUGCAAAUUAAAGGCUCAUGUGUACCCACUGGAGAACACUCCACUACAUGGAAAGGAGACCAGAGAGAUAAAAGACUAUAAAAACCUUUCACACUAUCCUCUGGCCAAUUUUUCCUGAUGAUGUAAGAGCAAGAUUGUAUGUUUUCCUUAAUGUGGCAUUCCAGAAGUAUUGGGCAUAAUAAGAUUAUAGGAUGGUAACCAUGUACCUGACUGCUAUCCUGUCUUACAGGCAUCUCUACUUCCACGUAUAGUAUGCAAAAGACUCAGGAUCUUUCUUAAGUCUUUAAAUACACCAUCUCCCACCUGCCUCAGGGUCUUUGUAUAUGAUGUUUUACCUUCUUGUUUCUCCCUUCCCCAGUUAACCCCCCCAUUCUUUAGAUUUCGUGCUGAAAGCUACUUACUGAGGCAGACGUCCUCAGACGUUGCUCACCAAGGCAGGCCAUCUUGCUAAAGCCCUCAGAUUCCCUGCAUGUUUUCUGCAUGGGUCUUGUCACAGUUUUUAAAAUGUACUAUGCGAUUAGUCCAUGAGUGUCUGUCUCACUAGGCAGCAAAUGUUUUGAGGGCAGGAUCAUGUCUGUUUUCAUUGAAAAAUUGAUUGAUUGAUUUAUUGAUCAGCAAUCACUGGGUCCUUCAAAUCAUAGCUUCUUGAAAGGGUUGAAUCCAUGUUGUGGCUUUUGCUGCCAGUUCAUGGAGAGGAAUUGCUGCAAAGGAUGAUAUAAGAAGUUGAAUUUAGAAAAAUUGCUGUGUAAAUAGAUGGAUCACUGUAACUGCUUGUGAAUGUACACGCACACCAAAACUGUGUUAAGAUGGAUUGAAGACUCUGUUGUCCUUUCUGCCAUCUGCCUAGUGAAUGCCAUACACUUGCAGUUGCUUCAUCAAGCCCAGACAUGUGUGUGUACCUCGUCCUAUGAUGAAUUAAAGAGUUCUCUAUCACAUUCAGCAUCUCCUCCUUCAUUUGGCCAUCCUGAAAGCAUGGAACACUGUUCAUAAAAGAAGCACAAUGUCAAUGUGCCUGUGGACCCAUAACAAUUUGCAUAACAUGAUGCAGCAUGGCCCAAACUGCAGAUAUUACUGUCAGUGGAUCAUGACAUUGGUUUGGUCAGCAUCAUUUCUGUGAAAUACACUUGUGCUAGCAUUACAAAUUUUAUUAGAGAGCCAAGUACUUAGUGUCCUUUGAACACUGGGGGGAAGAGAAAACAAUCAUGAACCCUUGGCUUGAGGAAAUAUGAUUAUUUGUGAAUUGGGUGAAAACAAACACACAAGCAAACAAAAAAUCCUGUCAAUUCUUAUGUACUUCAUCGUAGUUAAUUAUAUUGAUGGAAAUCACUUAUCUACAUGCAUGUCCAGUUUAAGAAAUGGCACUUUUGCUACCUGUGUAAUGAGGCAGAAAACAUUCAGCAUUGCCCAAGCUUAUCUGAUUAUUGUUUGUUCAAGUUAUAAGUACGUGCUUGGUUACUUUCUUUGAGUUGAAAGGACUUCCUGUCGGAGUAUUCACCUAAUUUAUAACACUCACAUCCUGAUGCAGACAUGGAGGGCUGAUUAUCAAGUCAAGAUGUAAUGCUUGGCUUACCUGGGAAGAAACUACAACUCAAUGCAGUGGACUGUUUCUCCAGAUGAAGCAGCUCCUGGACAGAAGCGAGUCUUCAGAGAGCAGCAGAC